Molecule: ribosomal RNA, 253 nt
Filed under: uncultured bacterium
Lineage: Bacteria
Description: partial 16S ribosomal RNA
Rfam family: Bacterial small subunit ribosomal RNA
Source: RNAcentral
UACGUAGGGUGCAAGCGUUGUCCGGAAUUAUUGGGCGUAAAGAGCUCGUAGGCGGUUUGUCGCGUCUGCUGUGAAAACUGGAGGCUCAACCUCCAGCCUGCAGUGGGUACGGGCAGACUAGAGUGCGGUAGGGGAGAUUGGAAUUCCUGGUGUAGCGGUGGAAUGCGCAGAUAUCAGGAGGAACACCGAUGGCGAAGGCAGAUCUCUGGGCCGUAACCGACGCUGAGACGCGAAAGCGUGGGGAGCAAACAGG